CCGGCGCGCGCUCACGCGACGCGCAAUCUAGCAACAUGUCGUUCUUUAAUAAUCUUAAAAAGGUGCUGCACCUAGGCAGCGGCAACGAUGCCAGGAAGAAGAAGGUGUUCAACAACAUCCGCGACAACAGCGACCCCUCGGACAACUGGGACAUGGUCGGCGAGCUCGGCGAUGGCGCGUUUGGGAAGGU
Trichoplusia ni (cabbage looper) is the source of this 190-nucleotide long non-coding RNA. RefSeq lists it as uncharacterized. The record is from RefSeq and is a predicted model, not a curated record. NCBI's taxonomy places the organism in Eukaryota, Metazoa, Arthropoda, Insecta, Lepidoptera, Noctuidae. The transcript has 2 exons.